Molecule: microRNA, 22 nt
Filed under: Pongo pygmaeus (Bornean orangutan)
Lineage: Eukaryota; Metazoa; Chordata; Mammalia; Primates; Hominidae
Description: ppy-miR-1537
Source: miRBase by way of RNAcentral
AAAACUGUCUAAUUACAGUUGU